GUGCAAGAGUUGGGUGUUCCCUUUCCACAUGCCAAGAGGUGAUACUAUUUUGUCUUCAAGAGUGAAGAUCAAGGAGGAGGAGAAGAAGGCUGCAGAUCAAAGAGUUGAUCAUGCAGUUUAGAUCAAGGUGUUGAUCAAAGUGCUCAAGGCUAGGAUUUUUCUUGAGAAGAAGGAUCUUCUACGAGGAUAGAUCAGUUCAAAAUUGAUCCUGAUAGAUACCC
Molecule: long non-coding RNA, 221 nt
Filed under: Elaeis guineensis (African oil palm)
Lineage: Eukaryota; Viridiplantae; Streptophyta; Magnoliopsida; Arecales; Arecaceae
Description: long non-coding RNA (EGUI_LNC057056)
Source: RNAcentral